Molecule: long non-coding RNA, 3670 nt
Organism: Bombus pyrosoma
Lineage: Eukaryota; Metazoa; Arthropoda; Insecta; Hymenoptera; Apidae
Exons: 2
Source: RefSeq, a predicted model, not a curated record
CGUGAUAUUUAUGGCAAUGAAACAAAAAUUUGCACAAUGUUUCGUGCAUUCCUGACGGUCUCUCCCCUCCCGACCCUGAAUCUUUUGAUACUCGGUCAAAAUAAUUAAUCACGAGCACACCGGUAAUUUUAUCCGGCAUCAACAAGGGAACAAGCGUACACGAAAUACACGAGAAGUCUUCUGUUUAUUAUUAGGAUUCGUAUAUUAUUCGAAAUCUAUAGUUGUAAAUCGACAGUGGAUAUCUUUUCAUUAUAAAUUUAGCUUUUUCAUGUAUCUAGCGUAGUGGAAAAAUUUACUUUUAAAAAUAGUUAUAUAGGAUUUAUUUCAUUCUUCUGACAGAAUUUGCUUUUUUUCUUACUGUUGCGAUUUUAAAGACUAGAAAUUAUCAUCAUAGUUAGAAUAUACUCUAUGCUUUAAUAUAUUUUGCUUCUCUUAUUUUGCGAAUUUGUAUUAUUUUCUUUUUUUUUUUGGUUUUCGCUUAUGUAAUCUUUUCCUAUCUUUCUUAUUUAUUUCAACCAGUUUGUAGGGUUCGACCUAUACAGGAAUGCAAUCGAUAGAGUUAUGCAACAUGGAGAAUUCAACAAAUCGCAGCAUUACGUGACCCGAACUUUUAACGCGCGCGACCGUUACACGAGAUAUUGAUUUGUCCCGUGGGUAAUCGAUGACGAGGCGCGAAUUUCUCCACGUUGCAUGAUCAAACAAACGACACUGAGGUGACAAGAGCGCUUUUCUUUUUAUUGAAAAUCUCUCGACAAAUCAAGUUCAACGAAGAAUUAUUCGUAUCUUAUUUCAACGUUUAAGAAGUCAUUAAUUUUCUUUUCAUUUGAUUUGCCUUGUUACGAUGUACAAAAUGCUCUCGUGAACUCAAUAUGUAUAUAAAAUACAAGCAAAAGGUCGAAUCAGAUUUAUCGUAAAUCGAAUUCAACUUUUUGUUACAGGCUUGCAGAUUCCUUCGAGUAAAGAAAGGAUACACAGCUAAUUAAAAAUAUUAAGGAGAUAUCCAAAAGAUGGAGUUUUCUAAAACAUCUCACACAUCUGUGAUCAAUGACUAGGUAUCGAAACAGUUUAAUAAAAAGUUAAAAUAACGAUUAAAUUCGUUCGAAUCGUUGAUCAAAAAAUGAAUGGAAUCCAUUUUUUUACUCGAGAAGGAUUAAUAUUCCAUCGAGAAGGACCGAUGAUAUUCUAUAGAAAAAAAAGAAUGAAGAAAUGUAACAAGUCCACAUAAACAACAUGUCACUAAACUAUUGAGAGGCUUGAGAUUCAUCUCCUCAAAUUGUCUUUCUCCGAUGAAUCGUUUUAUGUGUUUAUCGUAUGCUACAAUCUACGUAUGAUAAAUGACACCUAAUGUGAAAAACCGUGCGUACCAUCGGUUUGAUUUCGUCGCGAAUCUGGCCGGAAUCUGCCCAACUAUUAUUUAUUUGCGUUUCAUUUUCUCUGGUUUAGUACUUUAGCUUUCAGCAUCUACAUAUUCUUUAAAGAAAGAUGUUUCUCUUGUUAGUAGCAGCGUUUUUGUUAAUCUUCCAGGCCGCAGUGUCAUGCACUGUUGGUACGUGGCUUUAAUAAAAGACGCAGUGGUGUUUUAGGAAGAAUAUAACACAAUUUGAUACAAUAAUUAUUCAAGCGAUUUAACGAAAUUCCUUUAAUUAGCUGUUUGCAGCUAAAAGUGUUACAUGUACCAUAUGUACAUAUCGCUGUCGUUUAUCUUGUUUAUUGUUAAGCUUACUUCUAAGGUGUUGCAGUAAAAUAGUUAAAAUAGAGUAAAAACAAUAAAAAAUAAAUUAUAUGGGAAAGAUUAAUGAGUUACAUUCAACUCUUUUCAUUACCGUAUAGUACAUUUGACACUUUACCUAAAACACCCUAUGCUAAAAAGAUAGUAACAAGCUUAAUUAAUGCAUCGUGUUCCGUUCGCUGUUAAUCCGAUAAAAACGAAUAAAUAGGAGGGCAAAAAUGCAAGUUAAGGUUCACAAGGGUUUUGUCCCCGUUUUUGGGUGUUCUUUCAAAGCCGUGCGUGUUUCACCUAUCCGUAGCAAGCCGUAGAUGUAUAUGAUAAAAGCUUAUCGAAGCACGAUUCUUUCCUUCUAAAAGAGAAAAACGAAACAUUCGAGCCGCUCUCACAAAAAAAAAGAAAAAAAAAAGAAAGAAAUGAAAUGUAACACGACGCCACGUAACGUGUAAAAAAGUAUACUAACCUGGUGGGGGGUGAAAAAUACCGCCUCAAAAAAUCGCAUCGUACUCUCCAAAAACGGAGAGGAAAAAAGAGCGAUCAGAUAUUUUCUAAAAAUUUUCUUAUCUCAUUUUUUACACUGCUCGCCGGUCGCUCAAUGAAUCGCAAUACACUUAGAAAUUCGCCGCGAGGUACAAGUUAUUCCUGUUAAUCGUUACGAACUCGUGGCCAUCAUCAAGACUGCACGAAACACAGGUCUUUUCUACAAGGAUUUCUACAGAGUUUUUCUACAGAAUCUAUAUCGCUAUCUAUCUACUGCUACGAUUCUACUAGUUCGAAAAUUACUUUAAUCCGGUUAAUCAAUGCGUCACUGUCGAAGGAAAGAAUUAUAAUUAUAUUUGGUUGGUGGAGAAGUAACGAAGAGCAAAGCGAUUGCUACACAAUUUCAUUGUUUUCAUUGAUUUUAUUCUAUCUUAAUUUCUGCUGCAUUCUUUGAGUUGAUUUCGAUACAAAUCCAUCGUUAAACAAUUCUUUAACUUAUCGAUAGGUGUGAUUUUCUGUUGCAAUUUUUUUAAAAUAACAUUUCGAUUAAUUCGUCGUAUAUUUAAAUACACGAUUGCAACUUAGACCAAAGACUAGGUCGAUGAAAUUUUCGUACAAAGAUAUCGAUUUUGCUUUUAACAAAUUUAUUUGUAUCUUUUCCAUCUACGUAAUUUUUAGCAAAGAUUAGACAAUGAAAUGGGAUUUAUCAUAAUAUUUAGAAUCUGUUACAUUAUUUAUUGUAAAAUAGUGACUAUUUGAAAUUGUUCCUUUUAGUGCUAUCAAAGAUCAACGUUACUUUUCCACCAACUCGGUAUUAUAAUUGAUAAGCAGGUAAAGGGUUGGGGUUGGAGGGAUCGGAUUGAGAGAGAAGAAAAAAAGUACAUGCCAUCUCCUGAAAAAGAUAGAAAUUUUUGGAUCUAGCUGAAAUUAAUUAUCGCUUGUUAGUCGGAGGAAAAGAAUACUUCGAAUACGCGUGCGUAGUAAAGCAUAUAUUAAUUGGAAUGUUUGGGUCAAUUGCUCCACAUCGUCCUUGUAUCUCCUAUAUUCGAUUCUUUUCUUCAUUUUGUCUUCGUUUGUGAUAAUAUAAUAAUAACGAAUAUAAAAAUUAAGAAAUUGAAUAACGAAUGGAGAUAAGUGACGAUAUUGGAUCGAAUAGAUCAAUGGUAAAAAAUUAGAACGCGCAAGCGUCGAGAGAAAAUUUCCAGCUUUUUCAAGUUUGGCGGCCAUAUUGAAUUUCCUUUUAUUCACUCCUUUCGCUUUCCUUUUUUUUCAUUUUUCUUCUAUUUAUAAGUCUCACGACUAUUUUUUCUCCGAUGAAUUCAGCCUUCUACCGCAAUUAUUACGAUCGAAUCGCCGUCAUACGCUCUUCCUUUCUAUAUUUUUCUUCCGAUUACCUAUCCAAAUCGUUCUUUUAUUUUUGUUCUUUAAUUCAUCUGUCGUUCUUUUCGAUCCAGAUUAGUGUAA